CUUGGUGAUUAUUGCGAGAGGGUUCCACCCGUUCCCAUUCCGAACACGGUCGUUAAGCCUUUCAGCGCCGAUGAUACUACUACACGGUGGGAAAGUAGGUCGUUGCCGAGA
This 111-nucleotide ribosomal RNA is filed under the name bacterium. The record is from RNAcentral.